CCUCCCUUUACAGAUGUGCAGGAAGCAAUUCUGCAACUGUAACCCCCAUUUUGUAGCAAAAUAAAGUGAAUGUAAAAUUUAAAUAAAGAUAUAGAAAUGGAUAGAGCUUUGGAAGUGGUAGUCCAAUGCACCAUUUUAUCGACAAUGAGAUGCUUUAUUAUGUAAAACUUUAUUCAGUUCCAAAAUAGUACUUCACAGAGAGAUUCAUAAUUAGUUCUGACAACAAUUAAAAAAAAAGUCAUGAACUUUAAAAUAAUGCUGUUACAUCUAGUGCAUUUAUUAAUGAUUGAAGAUUAAGUGUAAGUUUUAAGCUUUGUAAUUAAAGAUAACUACUUUAAUGAGAUUUUCUGUAAUUGUAACAUUAUAUCCAAUACCAAUUAUUACACACUUUAAAAACCCUCUGGAGAAAAUCUUAGAGAUCCUAGUAAGUGCUGCACAUCUCAUUUUCCAUACAUUGGGUUUAAAUUUGUACCCUCUGAGCCCAAUUUGUUGCUUUCCUUAAUUAAUGUUGUUGCAUGAAAUUUCUCCCUUUUGGUCAUUUGACACCCUGAUAGAGAUUGGUUGUGUAGCUGUCAGCUCUCUGCAGGGUGUUGUUAGCACAGAUCUUGUCAGCUUCAGGAGUGGGUAAAUGCAUCCUAGACUGACUUGCUGGUUGAGUCACACCUCAGAGCUUCCAGGCAGGCAGGUCUGUUGGGGUGUGGUGGAAAGCUGAUUUCACCAGCUUUGUAACAGGUGGAAUGCCUCCUGUCCCUCAAGUGGCUCAGCAGAUCAGCCAGGAGAAAAACCAACAGCAAAAUGGACCAAAUUUGUCAAAUCUGCUUAAUUCCUUACACAGCAGGAACCCAGCUCUGCCCCGGCAGGUACAACCAGCAGGAUGGGAUAAGAACCAUGUGCUUGUGCUCCCAGCUCCAGUUCCUCACAACAACAGGGAAUUUUGUCCAUCUGCCAUCUGGCAGAGUUUUUAA
RNAcentral lists this long non-coding RNA (965 nucleotides) under Junco hyemalis (dark-eyed junco). RNAcentral's name for it is "lncRNA (ENSJHYG00000015401.1)". The record is from RNAcentral. Lineage: Eukaryota; Metazoa; Chordata; Aves; Passeriformes; Passerellidae.